CUCUUCUCUCUCUCUCAAUUCAAAUUAACGUUCUCUUCUCUCUCUCUCUCUCUCUCUCUCUCUCUCUCUCUCUUCAUUUUCGAUUUCACAAUUCUCAACAUGUAAUCGGUGGCGGUGUAGAAGGUGUAUGCGCGAGGUUUUGUGGCGAUGGAGACCGCAAGGAGCAGAUUACGGUGGUUCGAAUGAGACAGCGUGAGGUGGAGGUGGAGGAAGGGAAAGAGAUAGGGAAGAAGAUGAGAGUUUUUUCGUCGUGGUGGUGGAAGCGGAGGGGUUCAGAGACGAAGUCGGUGGUGCCAGCGAGCGAUUAUACCAGAAAAUUGCAGCCACAUGGUCAAGACCCACGAAUACAACGUCGUUUUAGGAUGGUUGAAGUUGGAGAAGAAAGAUGUGACACCCGCUAGACGCGUAUGAAGUCCUUGACGUUUCACGGAAUUCUACUAGAAGUCAAGGUAAAUGGGAAAAUGGUGCGUGUAAAUUGAACAGAAAGAAAAUAGAGAUUAAUGAGUUGGCCUGCGUUGUGUAUGUUUGGAAAGGAGAUUUUCAAAACAAUUAUAGAGGUGGUUGGAAUGAUAAUGCCGUUGAAUGAUGAUAGGCCAUUCGAUGAUUUCAGUCGGGAACCAUUGAACUACAAGGAAAAUGUGUGUUGUGAAGCUCCCAAUUCAGCAACAAGGAAGUUCCAGCUGUAGGUUCCAAAAUUGGAAAUUUGGGGAUUAUGCUGGUGCUAAGGGUCGCGGUUUCAAGGUGGAAAAUGUAUGUCCUAGUUUCAAGCAGAAGAAUGUUCUGGCUGAAAGUUCUACACGGCAACAUGGGGAUAACACUGGUGAAAAGGAAACUUAUGGAUAACAAUCGUGCACAGGAUGAUGGUUCCAAGCGUGACAUUAGGGGAGCCACAUGAGAUAAAUACAUGACGAUGGAUAAUGGGGUAAGAAGACCCUUGAAAUCAUGAAAACAUGAGGCCAAUGCAAAGUCAAGUUCAGUCAAAUCUCUAGUCCAAAGACCUGGAUUAAAACAACCAUCAGGGUGUGUGGCUUCACCUAAAAUGGCAUCAAUCCCUGUUGAAGGAUCUAGUUUUGAAAUACAGUCUCGACAUGUCUCGGCCUCACUGUUGCAAGAGUACAAAGGCAAAGAACAUCACAAGUUUAAAAAUAUUGUGGAAAAGAAUAAUCAGCCACAAUUGGUGAAUGCUUCAACAGGCUCUAAUAUGACAGACCCUGCUGGUUCUAUGACUAACAACCAAACAAAAGUUGUGAAUUCUGAUUAUGUAGCAAUUGAAGUUGUUACAGAACCACUUGCAUCCGCACUGCCAGAUGCAUCAGUUUCAAGUUUUGAACUCCUAACUGAACAUGAUCUACAUACUGAAGUUGAACCUCAAGUAUUGGAAGCUGCAGUGGAGAUUGAUGCUCUUGCAUAGGUUAGUACUGAAACUGAAGCUGCAUACAUAAGUUGUCAAUCGGAAGUGGAGAUGGAUGUUCUCAUCACCGAGUCAGAGACAGCUAAGUUGCCGCAGAUACCUGUCUGUCUUACAUGUGGCGAUGUAGGCUUUGAAGAGACGUUGGUGUAUUGUAACAAAUGUAAAGCUUGUGCACUGCAUAGAAAGGAAAUUUUCAAAACAAUUAUAGAGGUGGUUGGAAUGAUAAUGCCGUUGAAUGAUGAUAGGCCAUUCGAUGAUUUCAGUCGGGAACCAUUGAACUACAAGGAAAAUGUGUGUUGUGAAGCUCCCCGAUUCAGCAACAAGGAAGUUCCAGCUGUAGGUUCCAAAUUUGAAAUUUGGGGAUUAUGCUGGUGCUAAGGGUCGCGGUUUCAAGGUGGAAAAUGUAUGUCCUAGUUUCAAGCAGAAGAAUGUUCUGGCUGAAAGUUCUACAGGGCAACUUGGGGAUAACACUGGUGAAAAGGAAACUUAUGGAUAACAAUCGUGCACAGGGUGAUGGUUCCAAGCGUGACAUUAGAGGAGCCACAUGAGAUAAAUACAUGACGAUGGAUAAUGGGGUAAGAAGACCCUUGAAAUCAUGAAAACAUGAGGCCAAUGCAAAGUCAAGUUCAGUCAAAUCUCUAGUCCAAAGACCUGGAUUAAAACAACCAUCAGGUUGUGUGGCUUCACCUAAAAUGGCAUCAAUCCCUGUUGAAGGAUCUAGUUUUGAAAUACAGUCUCGACAUGUCUCGGCCUCACUGUUGCAAGAGUACAAAGGCAAAGAACAUCACAAGUUUAAAAAUAUUGUGGAAAAGAAUAAUCAGCCACAAUUGGUGAAUGCUUUAACAGGCUCUAAUAUGACAGACCCUGCUGGUUCUAUGACUAACAACCAAACAAAAGUUGUGAAUUCUGAUUAUGUAGCAAUUGAAGUUGUUACAGAACCACUUGCAUCCGCACUGCCAGAUGCAUCAGUGUCAAGUUUUGAACUCCUAACUGAACAUGAUCUACAUACUGAAGUUGAACCUCAAGUAUUGGAAGCUGCAGUGGAGAUUGAUGCUCUUGCAUAGGUUAGUACUGAAACUGAAGCUGCAUACAUAAGUUGUCAAUCGGAAGUGGAGAUGGAUGUUCUCAUCACCGAGUCAGAGACAGCUAAGUUGCCGCAGAUACCUGUCUGUCUUACAUGUGGCGAUGUAGGCUUUGAAGAGACGUUGGUGUAUUGUAACAAAUGUAAAGCUUGUGCACUGCAUAGGUUGAGAAGCAAUGUGCACAUUCCUAUUUAGUUACAAUCACGGUUACAAUCACAUAAGAGGAAGCAAGAGUUGGAUUUUUUUGCCGAGUGCAAUCAUCAUACAAAAUCAAAUGCAAGGUUCAAUUUUAAUCUUCUGCCAUUGAUUAAGGUUGGAUGCUAGUUAUGCUCAACUUACCGAUCUCAAGAUUUUUGUUUUUGCUAUAGGUAGAAUGACUUUUUUUGCAAUUAUUUUUGAAAUAUAUGAUCUAACUGGAUCUCAAAUUUAAAAGUACUUUGAAUUUACUAGAGUUUCAGUCAUGUUAUUUAUCUACUUUGUGAGAUCAUUAUUUCUUUACAAUAGCUCCCCAACUUUGAGCAA
Molecule: long non-coding RNA, 3015 nt
Organism: Medicago truncatula (barrel medic)
Lineage: Eukaryota; Viridiplantae; Streptophyta; Magnoliopsida; Fabales; Fabaceae
Exons: 8
Source: RefSeq, a predicted model, not a curated record